Long non-coding RNA from Peromyscus maniculatus bairdii (prairie deer mouse), 484 nucleotides. RefSeq lists it as uncharacterized. Lineage: Eukaryota; Metazoa; Chordata; Mammalia; Rodentia; Cricetidae. The record is from RefSeq and is a predicted model, not a curated record.
GUCAAUAGCCCAAGGCCACUGUCCAAGCUUUGGGACCCAGCACAGCUCCACACAUCCUUUGAUGGAGAAGAUGACCGAAUGUAUCUGGUGCUCCUGGGGAUGGGGCUGGGCCCAUGGCCAGCUGGAGAAGUCAGCGUCAGUCAGCUGGCAGGAAGGGAGGGCAGCCGACAGGCCAGCCCCCCAGCGCCAGGACUCCAGCACUUUCCAGUACUUAGCAAAGGGUAGACAAGAAGAGGGUCAGACCAGCUGAGCUGCCUGGAAGAGCUUUAGACCAACUGAGGCACCUGGAGAGGACACUCUCCCACCUGGGGAGCCGCCUGCAGGCUGUGUGGUGUGCUCCGGGUUCCCAGCUUCGGGAGCUGUCACCCAUGCUGGGGCGGGCUUAGGUGAUACAGUUGUCUUUGAGGCAUUUUUGCUCCUGUGGGUAACCCGUCAUCUAUAUUCCUGUUAGUGACCCCAAUAAAACUCAUCCAUGGUUCACCAA